UUUACCAUUUUCACUUUCUCUUGUUUGUUGUCAUCUCAAUCUCAGACAACACAAGAGAAAUCAAAAGGAUCAGUUGGGGAAGAUAUACAUACUAUAUAUACCUAUACAUAUAUAUUGUUUUGGGUAUCAAUUCUUGAUCCAUUUUUUGCACAAAUUUCUGUCCCUGUUUAACAAUUUUGAGUGAAAAUGUCAAAAGAAAUUGAAAUGGGUGUUGAUCACACCGAACCCGAAG
This 232-nucleotide unclassified non-coding RNA is filed under the name Hevea brasiliensis (rubber tree). The record is from RNAcentral. Lineage: Eukaryota; Viridiplantae; Streptophyta; Magnoliopsida; Malpighiales; Euphorbiaceae.